Molecule: long non-coding RNA, 351 nt
Filed under: Lathyrus oleraceus (garden pea)
Lineage: Eukaryota; Viridiplantae; Streptophyta; Magnoliopsida; Fabales; Fabaceae
Description: Pisum sativum (pea) long non-coding RNA (PSAT_LNC007734)
Source: RNAcentral
AAAGAGAGGAUAUUUAUUAUGCGUUUAAGAGUUUAUUAUUCACGAAGAAAAAGAGGGUAUACCUAUUACUGUAUAUAUUUAGGAGUUUGAUAUUUCGUAAUUAAGCCUUCGUGUUCCGAAACUUGCGAACAACCCAAAACACUAAUAGAAAAGUUGUGUAAAAAACAAAAUAAAGUGGAAAAGAAAAGAAAAGAAUGUGUUUGAUGUAGUUUAAAUAUGAAUAUUUUAGUAUUGAUAUGACUGUAGCGGUAAGCAUUUCGUACUCACUGAUCUUGCUAGAAAGAACGGAUGAGUAACAGGUACUCUACCACUUCACUCUCCAGACUUCAGACCUUCAGUCACACCUCUCUC